CUCUCGGCUUGUCGUCGAUCGAUUUCUGCGGCCUAUAUCUGUUUCACUUUGCAGACGCCGCUGGCCUCUGGUAUCGAUUCGUAUUAGGGUUCAGUCAUGCUGUGUAGCGGCGCUCACCUUGCACUUCCCGGUCUACAGCGUUGACCUCGUCGAGGCUCUGAGUCUCCGCCAGCUUCUCAUUGACCUCCAUGAUCUUUAACAGCAAGGACGGAUCUGCUGUAGAGUCCGUGCCUUCCUCCAGCUCGACUCCUCGCAACUGCAGCUGCGAUUAAUCGUCAUCAUCGACACCAGUUAACGUUUUUCUACCACGGAACGACUAAUACCACGGCGGCGCUGUUCAAUUCUCAAAUCCGGUUGGGUCGGAAAGCGCCGAUUCGUUUUCUAUAACGGCGGCGAACUUUAUACGGAUCACCGACGGGAACAGCUCGUUCAGCUCGUCGUACGGCGUCGUAUAACGUCUAGGACCAAUGGUAAACGGAUUAACAAAGAAAACGGUAUAAUCGAUGACAUGGUGACGUUUUCUGUGAGGAGACGUUGACUCGACGUUUAUGGAAGGAGUCUCCAGUGUCAGAGUGAACGUAAAGUGUUUCCGGAAGGAUGACGCUGUCGGUGAGGGGGG
Ictalurus punctatus (channel catfish) is the source of this 619-nucleotide long non-coding RNA. RefSeq lists it as uncharacterized. The transcript has 2 exons. NCBI's taxonomy places the organism in Eukaryota, Metazoa, Chordata, Actinopteri, Siluriformes, Ictaluridae. The record is from RefSeq and is a predicted model, not a curated record.